AGCAGUCGCCCGGUAAUACGAAGGGUGCAAGCGUUAAUCGGAAUUACUGGGCGUAAAGCGUGCGUAGGCGGUUUGUUAAGUCCGUUGUGAAAGCCCUGGGCUCAACCUGGGAAUUGCAGUGGAUACUGGGUCACUAGAGUGUGGUAGAGGAUAGUGGAAUUUCCGGUGUAGCAGUGAAAUGCGUAGAGAUCGGAAGGAACAUCUGUGGCGAAGGCGACUAUCUGGGCCAACACUGACACUGAGGCACGAAAGCGUGGGGAGCAAACAGGAUUAGAUACCCGUGUAGUCCCUGUCUCUUAUACA
Molecule: ribosomal RNA, 303 nt
Filed under: uncultured bacterium
Lineage: Bacteria
Description: partial 16S ribosomal RNA
Rfam family: Bacterial small subunit ribosomal RNA
Source: RNAcentral